UCUAUGGAGAGUUUGAUCCUGGCUCAGGACGAACGCUGGCGGCGUGCUUUACACAUGCAAGUCGAGCGAUGAGAUCCCUUCGGGGAUGGAUUAGCGGCGAACGGGUGAGGAACACGUAAGGAAUCUACCUUCAACACUGGGAUAACUCCGGGAAACCGGGGCUAAUACCGGAUACGAGAACCGCAGGCAUCUGUGGCUCUGGAAAGUUUUUCGGUUGAAGAUGACCUUGCGGCCUAUCAGCUUGUUGGUGAGGUAAUGGCUCACCAAGGCGACGACGGGUAGCCGGCCUGAGAGGGCGACCGGCCACACUGGGACUGAGACACGGCCCAGACUCCUACGGGAGGCAGCAGUGGGGAAUAUUGGGCAAUGGAGGAAACUCUGACCCAGCGACGCCGCGUGCGGGAUGAAGGCCUUCGGGUUGUAAACCGCUUUCAGCAGGGAAGAAGCGAAAGUGACGGUACCUGCAGAAGAAGCACCGGCUAACUAUGUGCCAGCAGCCGCGGUAAUACAUAGGGUGCAAGCGUUGUCCGGAAUUAUUGGGCGUAAAGAGCUCGUAGGUGGUUCGUAACGUCGGAUGUGAAACUCUGGGGCUUAACCCCAGACCUGCAUUCGAUACGGGCGAGCUAGAGUGUGGUAGGGGAGACUGGAAUUCCUGGUGUAGCGGUGGAAUGCGCAGAUAUCAGGAGGAACACCAAUGGCGAAGGCAGGUCUCUGGGCCAUUACUGACACUGAGGAGCGAAAGCGUGGGGAGCGAACAGGAUUAGAUACCCUGGUAGUCCACGCCGUAAACGGUGGGCACUAGUUGUGGGAACCUUCCACGGUUUCUGCGACGCAGCUAACGCAUUAAGUGCCCCGCCUGGGGAGUACGAUCGCAAGAUUAAAACUCAAAGGAAUUGACGGGGCCCCGCACAAGCAGCGGAGCAUGCGGCUUAAUUCGACGCAACGCGAAGAACCUUACCAAGGCUUGACAUAUACAGGAAUAUGGCAGAGAUGUCAUAGCCGCAAGGUCUGUAUACAGGUGGUGCAUGGUUGUCGUCAGCUCGUGUCGUGAGAUGUUGGGUUAAGUCCCGCAACGAGCGCAACCAUCAUCCUUAGUUGCCACCUUUUGGUAUCGAAAGAUGUCAGGAGAGCACUCUAAGGAGACUGCCCUGGAUAACGGGGAGGAAGGGGAAGAUGACGUCAAAUCCGUAUGGCCUUUAUGCCUUGGGCUACACACGUGUUACAAUGCCUGCUACAGAGGGUUGCCAACCCGCGAGGGGGAGCUAAUCCCAUAAAAGCAGGCCCAGUUCAGAUUAGAGUCUGCAACCCGACUCUAUGAAGCCGGAAUCGCUAGUAAUGGCGGAUCAGCUACGCCGCCGUGAAUACGUUCCCGGGCCUUGUACACACCGCCCGUCAAGCGAUGGGAGCUGGGGGUACCCAAAGUCUCCGAGCAAUCGGAGCCUAAGGUAAAUCUGGUGACUGGCGCUAAGUCGUAACAAGGUAGCCGUACGGGAACGUGCGGCUGGAUCACCUCCUUU
RNAcentral lists this ribosomal RNA (1517 nucleotides) under Candidatus Omnitrophota bacterium. RNAcentral's name for it is "bacterial SSU rRNA". It matches the Rfam family "Bacterial small subunit ribosomal RNA". The record is from RNAcentral. Lineage: Bacteria; Pseudomonadati; Candidatus Omnitrophota.